RNAcentral lists this ribosomal RNA (584 nucleotides) under Triticum aestivum (bread wheat). Its description in RNAcentral is "partial small subunit ribosomal RNA". Lineage: Eukaryota; Viridiplantae; Streptophyta; Magnoliopsida; Poales; Poaceae. The record is from RNAcentral.
GCGCGUAUGCCACGUGAAGGCAUGUGUGGCAGCCCACGGUCUGGUCAACCGAAGAGAUAAGGAAACAAGUCCCCGCUAGAGAUGAAAUCUCCAGUGCUGGAUCCCUCACUCACGGAGACUACCAUAGAAAUCCUCUCGCUCUAGGGGCUCCAUGUACCAGUGCGCCGGAGCGGCUGCUCGACGGCGAGGUCGUUAGGAGAAGGCUGAUAAGACGACGGCGGGCGCCGGAGCGUGGCGCAGGCGGAGAAGUGGCGGGCGUCAGGGACGGCCGGCAGUGUCCGCGUCGACAACCACAUCGCUGGCUUCAGCUUCAACAACCGCAGGGGUUGGAGACGGCAGCGCCGCGGUUUCGUCGUCGUCGUCGAUUAUGACGACGUCGUCCGGCUGGACGGUGCUCAAGUCCCGGCGCAGCGGUCGAUGGCGGCCAUGGUGCGGCCGUAAAGCCUCUCCGCGAGCCUGCUCCAGCCUGCGUUGGCGUCAGCGUGUUCUGCGAACGCCACGGGCACGAAGCCAGGAGGCCGCGGCUGAGCGCGGGAGCGCGGCGCGGCCGGGCAGCGGCCAUGGGCAGGAGGGCGCGCAGCCGG